UACGAAGGGGGCUAGCGUUGCUCGGAAUCAUUGGGUUUAAAGGGUCCGUAGGCGGUUUAGUAAGUCAGUGGUGAAAGCCCAUCGCUCAACGGUGGAACGGCCAUUGAUACUGCUGAACUUGAAUUACUGGGAAGUAACUAGAAUAUGUAGUGUAGCGGUGAAAUGCUUAGAUAUUACAUGGAAUACCAAUUGCGAAGGCAGGUUACUACCAGUUUAUUGACGCUGAUGGACGAAAGCAUGGGGAGCGAACAGG
This 253-nucleotide ribosomal RNA is filed under the name uncultured bacterium. RNAcentral's name for it is "partial 16S ribosomal RNA". It matches the Rfam family "Bacterial small subunit ribosomal RNA", at positions 524 to 776 of the family's 1533-position model. The record is from RNAcentral.